AGCAGCAGAGAAGAGCAGAGACCAAGGACCUCCCUGGGGCAAGGAAGCAGGACUUGAAGAGGAGAGCCAUGGACGGUCCUGAUGAGCCCUGUGGGAAGAAAAAGAGGAGACAGAUGUGAAGAUUAAAGCCAGUCUUCAGUAAGCAAAGACUGCAAUAAAGUGAAAGGUCUUUGCUGAAGUCAGAAGAGAGACCUGUGCUCUGGUAUUGACCAGCAGCCUGACCGACCUGUUCCACUCCACCAGACAGGGAUUACAGUGACUGAGACUAGAAGAAAACGUGACCAAAAUGUUUCUCCAGGACAUCAAAUCCCUUCCAGUUUUUUGUAGUUGUGAAGCCUUAGGAACUUAGAAACUUAGUUUAG
Empidonax traillii (willow flycatcher) is the source of this 362-nucleotide long non-coding RNA. RefSeq lists it as uncharacterized. The record is from RefSeq and is a predicted model, not a curated record. The transcript is spliced from 3 exons. Lineage: Eukaryota; Metazoa; Chordata; Aves; Passeriformes; Tyrannidae.